Molecule: ribosomal RNA, 253 nt
Filed under: uncultured bacterium
Lineage: Bacteria
Description: partial 16S ribosomal RNA
Rfam family: Bacterial small subunit ribosomal RNA
Source: RNAcentral
UACGGAGGGUGCUAGCGUUGCUCGGAAUCACUGGGCGUAAAGCGUGCGUAGGCGGCCUUGCAAGUCUGGCGUGAAAGCCCCGGGCUCAGCCCGGGAAGUGCGCUCGAAACUGCGCGGCUCGAGUGCCGGAGGGGAGAGUGGAAUUCCUGGUGUAGCGGUGAAAUGCGUAGAUAUCAGGAGGAAUACCGGUGGCGAAAGCGACUCUCUGGACGGGAACUGACGCUGAGGCACGAAAGCGUGGGGAGCAAACAGG